Molecule: ribosomal RNA, 253 nt
Filed under: uncultured bacterium
Lineage: Bacteria
Description: partial 16S ribosomal RNA
Rfam family: Bacterial small subunit ribosomal RNA
Source: RNAcentral
UACGUAGGGGGCAAGCGUUGUCCGGAUCUAUUGGGCGUAAAGAGCGUGUAGGCAGCCGCACAGGUCCGUUGUGAAAACUGGAGGCUUAACCUCCAGACGUCGAUGGAAACCGUGCGGCUAGAGUCCGGAAGAGGAGAAUGGAAUUCCUGGUGUAGCGGUGAAAUGCGCAGAUAUCAGGAAGAACACCCGUGGCUAAGGCGGUUCUCUAGUACGGUACUGACGCUGAGACGCGAAAGCGUGGGGAGCGAACAGG